Molecule: long non-coding RNA, 1059 nt
Organism: Cyclopterus lumpus (lumpfish)
Lineage: Eukaryota; Metazoa; Chordata; Actinopteri; Perciformes; Cyclopteridae
Exons: 3
Source: RefSeq, a predicted model, not a curated record
GAGGGCGGCGGCGUCAGGAAGCCGGGGCUCUGACAGGUCCUCCACGUGGCCCUGGGCCAGCUGCCCGUAGCUGUUGGCCCCCUGACGGACACGACAUGGGUCACGUUACUACCAGUUAAUCGUUUGGGGUUUGUUUUCGUUGCACUUGUUAGCUAGCGCGAACCAGUUUGCUAACUGUUAAGCUUUUAGCUAGUUACAUCAGCAAAAGUGCGACGACGGUUGCGUGGGUCACUCCGCUGGUGGUUUCUCCUUUUAUGGACAUUACUACUUAAGUGAUAACAUUCCGGCAGUGGGACAUAGAAGACCAUCGAUUUGACAUGAAGAUGUUCUAUUUGGGAAGUUAUGUAUCCUAAAUAAAAACUUAACAUAUAGAAGCAGUCACUAAUUCAGUGUCCAAGAAACCAACUCUAACAAUUUCAAUCAGUGUCUUUCUAUUUCAGAAUGUAUUUUUACAUUGCCCUUGGGUCAAAGUGAUAAUUAUUUUUAGAUACACAAACUCCAGCCUGAACAUAAAUUGUCACUUUCAGGGUCCUCGCUGUCAUCCUUCUGCUUCUCCAUGAUCAUCAUCAGCAUGUUCCUCAGCAUCUAGUAUCCAUAACCAAACCACCACCAUAAGGACAUCAAUAAGUGACUAAGUCUAAAGGACGGCGGGAAGAUCAGUUGGCUGGCAGAGGUCCUCACACACAACGUCGCAGACAAAGUUCCACACUGCUUUGCCGGGUCCAUCAGGGGCAGCUGGAAGACACAAUUAAACAACGUAUUAUCUGUUGAGAGCUUACGUCAAUCUUCUGUUAGAAUGUACCGAGUUAAGAACUAUGGUGACAACCUGUAACUUCUGAAGUGAUGUGCCAAUAGCUGAACUCAACACAUACAGCAUUGAUCGCUCUUACCAAGAGUCUGAAUGCCCUCAUCUACAGUGGUGAGGAGUUGGAGGGCAUGAAGGUAAACCUCUAAGCCAUUCGGACUCUCUGAUCUGUGAAAGCAAUUCAAUACGGUUGAAAACUGAGCAUCAAUUAAAUAAAUCAUUAACAUCAUAAGUACCAUAUAUUUACCUAAGCU